GAUGAACGCUGGCGGCGUGCCUAAUACAUGCAAGUCGAGCGAACAGACGAGGAGCUUGCUCCUCUGACGUUAGCGGCGGACGGGUGAGUAACACGUGGAUAACCUACCUAUAAGACUGGGAUAACUUCGGGAAACCGGAGCUAAUACCGGAUAAUAUAUUGAACCGCAUGGUUCAAUAGUGAAAGACGGUUUUGCUGUCACUUAUAGAUGGAUCCGCGCCGCAUUAGCUAGUUGGUAAGGUAACGGCUUACCAAGGCGACGAUGCGUAGCCGACCUGAGAGGGUGAGAAGCAGCACGGGAAGGGAGACAGGGGCGAGAGGACGACGGGAGGCAGCAGGAGGGAAUAGUGAGCAAGGGGAGAAAGCAUGAACAAGCAAUAAAGAGGGAGGAAGGAAGGACUCAGGGUCGUAAAAUGUGUGUGUAGGGAAAGAAAAGAAGCGGAGUGAUAACGCGCUGGCGGGACGGGAACGAAUGAGGAAGAAACGGCUAAUGUAGUG
This 497-nucleotide ribosomal RNA is filed under the name uncultured bacterium. Its description in RNAcentral is "partial 16S ribosomal RNA". The stretch from base 17 to 378 matches the Rfam family "Bacterial small subunit ribosomal RNA", at positions 44 to 395 of the family's 1533-position model. The record is from RNAcentral.